Molecule: non-coding RNA, 82 nt
Organism: Candidatus Buchananbacteria bacterium
Lineage: Bacteria; Candidatus Buchananiibacteriota
Source: Rfam
GGGUCGGUACUCAAGCGGUCAACGAGGGCUGACUGUAAAUCAGCUGGCUUUGCCUACGGGGGUUCGAAUCCCUCCCGGCCCA